UAUAAUAAUACAAUAAUCGUAAUUUUUAUAUUAUUUUAGUAAUAUACUAAUAUUCGUAUAGCUUAUUAUUAUGAAAAAAAUAUUAAGUUAUUCAAGUUAAAAAAAAAUUAUUCGUUUAUGAAAUAUCACAUAGACUUAAAAUUUGUAAAAUUUAUUACAUGAAAGUUAAAAAGAGUAUGAAUAGAGUAUUAUUUGAUACAUUCGCAUAUAUCUUUUUAAAUUUUCCUUUUCUAAUCAUCAUUGAAAAGAAAUAGCAUCUCCAUUGCAAGGUUGUCGUUAUUAGUUAGCCGUUGUUAAUUAUGAUCACGAUAAUGGAGAAUACAUGCGAGAGGAUAAUGCACGAGCAUAAUCGAGCAUUGCCUCGACCGAAAGCGCGACCGCGCGCAAGAACUGUUGAUUUUCGCACGCGCUACUUAAACCGCUUAAAUCUACAGCGCGAUCAAGCCGGACGUCAAGAGUAUACACAUCGCGAAUACACAUCCAGUGCAAGACAAGCAAUCAGAGCUUAUGUACGGUACUCGGGCGGAAAUCGGGUCAAGAGAGAGGUGAAUGGACCAAAAGAUUCUGUGUCAAAGAUCCGCCUCAACUGAUAAGAAUCGGGCGACAAUUAAAUCAUUCGAUUGAUCUGCUAUCUCAAUUCUUUCUGUCUGUACAUUUUGCUACAUGCAUGGCACGAUGCAUGCUGGCUCAAAUAGUGAUUUUAUACAACGAAAAAUAAUAGGAUAAUAAAUAACGUACGAUAUUUGUUAAAGAUUUAUUUACUUUAUUCGAAAUGUUUGUUAAUUUAUUAAUAUGUUAGAAUAAAGAAUAUCAAAUUUUAAUAGAUAAUUAAUGAACUCAUGAAUAAAGUCUAACCUAUAACAAUAUCUAUAACAUGUUAUCCAAUAAAUUAUACUUGUUAAUCCACUAAUAUUAAUUAUUAUUGUUCAAAAAGGAUCUUAAAUGAAUUGUUUCAUAUAAGUGGAUUACUAUAAUAAAUAUCGAAAUCAUAAUUUUUUUUUUCUAAUUAGAAUCAUUAUUUGAUUCAUUGAUUAAUAAGACGGAAUUUCAUUUUAUUGACCAAUUAAUUUUUAUAAAUGGUUUUUAUAAAUUAUCAUUUUUAUAAAUAAAGAUGCACGCAGUAUUCGCUUUAAUAUCGAUUCAUUUAACAUUUUAACCUUUCUCAAUUUACUAUUAGCUGCAGCGAAUUACGAUUUUUCAGUCAUGUAAUGUAAUAUAAUAUAAUUAUGAGUACGACUGUGUUAAGGAGCUCGACAAGAUUCCUCGCGCAUGCGCAUACUUAAGCAUGCGUGAAUAAAGCUUCCUUGGAUCGAAAGUAGUUCCUCGAUGCGUCUGGUGGUCAUCGUUCGAGUUAUUUCUUCGAUGAGUGUUAUUAUGUCAUCGUGGUGUUAGGAAUUUAAGAUUACAUAGUUAAAAUAUAUAUAAAAUAUAUAAAAAACGGUAAUUUAAGCAACGUAAAUCGAAAUCGAUCAUCAUCACGAAGACCUUGGCGCUUUUCAUUUCACGCUAAUUAUACGAAACUCUCUCGUCCGUAUGCCAAACAUGAGAUUAAACUUUUCUUCAAGGGCAAAUAUUCAACGUGGCAUUUUCUUCGCUCGUUGAGAAAGGUCACAUCGAGUGACUCUAGAUUUUAGUGUAAAAUAAACAAUAAAAUAAUAGAAUAAAUAAAACAAGAAAGAUCUCUAAAGAUAGUGAUCUAAUAAAAUUAUUUAAUACAAUAAGCAAAAGAUUAAAAUAAAUUUAUUUGUUAAACUAUCUUGAAUUUUUACAUUAGCAAAAAUUAGAAUAAAAUAGUAGUUUUGCAGUCUCUAGAAAUAGCAUUCAAACGUAAAAUUUUAAACUUUGUGUUUCCUCGCAGAGAUAAUUAUGAAUAAUUUUUCUUUUCCAUCACAAUUUCUUUUCUAUCUAUUCGAAAGUAUUACCAAUCACUAAAAGGAAAGAUAAGAGAAAAACUGGUCCGUAUAUCUAUUAAAAAACGAAGAAAGUUUCUUAUUAGUAAUUAGAUGGUGCAGCCGAGCAACUGAAAACGGUAUUGUGCGUUCCGACAACACGCUGCCGGAAUUAGUGACCACAGGACAAUCUUUUCCGGCUAACGUGUUACAUGUUCGAACAGGACGAGCAAGAAAAGGAGAGUUUUUGCAUUUUUCUUCAAAUAAUACUUAUUAGUUAUAAAUGUACAGAUAGAGAACAAAAAUUAUUUAACAUUGUUACAUAUUUAAAUUUUAAUUAUUGUAUAUUCUUAUAAAUAAAUUAAAUAAAUUAAAUUAAAUUUUGAAGAAAUUGCAGAUGCAUAAAAAUAAAAAACAAUAUAAUUAA
Apis cerana (Asiatic honeybee) is the source of this 2316-nucleotide long non-coding RNA. RefSeq lists it as uncharacterized. The record is from RefSeq and is a predicted model, not a curated record. Lineage: Eukaryota; Metazoa; Arthropoda; Insecta; Hymenoptera; Apidae.